RNAcentral lists this non-coding RNA (32 nucleotides) under Flavobacterium johnsoniae UW101. Lineage: Bacteria; Pseudomonadati; Bacteroidota; Flavobacteriia; Flavobacteriales; Flavobacteriaceae. The record is from RNAcentral.
GAGGCGGAUCCGAAAAGCCAUACGAGUAGGAA